Molecule: RNA transcript, 4048 nt
Organism: Gorilla gorilla gorilla (western lowland gorilla)
Lineage: Eukaryota; Metazoa; Chordata; Mammalia; Primates; Hominidae
Gene: SPTLC1
Gene name: serine palmitoyltransferase long chain base subunit 1
Exons: 9
Source: RefSeq, a predicted model, not a curated record
GCAAGUGCGAGUAGGCGGUGCCCAGCGCUCCGCCGCCCCGCCCUCUGCGGAGGUGAUAACGACACUGAGCAGCGACGCGCACUUUUAGGACGUGCUUGUGACCCGCCUUUCGGAAGGAAGCGGCUAACUAUGGCGACCGCCACGGAGCAGUGGGUUCUGGUGGAGAUGGUACAGGCGCUUUACGAGGCUCCUGCUUACCAUCUUAUUUUGGAAGGGAUUCUGAUCCUCUGGAUAAUCAGACUUCUUUUCUCUAAGACUUACAAAUUACAAGAACGAUCUGAUCUUACAGUCAAGGAAAAAGAAGAACUGAUUGAAGAGUGGCAACCAGAACCUCUUGUUCCUCCUGUCCCAAAAGACCAUCCUGCUCUCAACUACAACAUGGUUUCAGGCCCUCCAAGCCACAAAAUUGUGGUGAAUGGAAAAGAAUGUAUAAACUUCGCCUCAUUUAAUUUUCUUGGAUUGUUGGAUAACCCUAGGGUUAAGGCAGCAGCUUUAGCAUCUCUAAAGAAGUAUGGCGUGGGGACUUGUGGACCCAGAGGAUUUUAUGGCACAUUUGAUGUUCAUUUGGAUUUGGAAGACCGCCUGGCAAAAUUUAUGAAGACAGAAGAAGCCAUUAUAUACUCAUAUGGAUUUGCCACCAUAGCCAGUGCUAUUCCUGCUUACUCUAAAAGAGGGGACAUUGUUUUUGUAGAUAGAGCUGCCUGCUUUGCUAUUCAGAAAGGAUUACAGGCAUCCCGUAGUGACAUUAAGUUAUUUAAGCAUAAUGACAUGGCUGACCUCGAGCGACUACUAAAAGAACAAGAGAUCGAAGAUCAAAAGAAUCCUCGCAAGGCUCGUGUAACUCGGCGUUUCAUUGUAGUAGAAGGAUUGUAUAUGAAUACUGGAACUAUUUGUCCUCUUCCAGAAUUGGUAAGCAACCAUGUUCAGCCGUAAUUUUAAUAUUUGGACUAUCUGACUGAUGUGCCUUUUGUUUAUGACCGCUUUUAGUGUAUGACGUCUGCGUUGCUUUGCACAUUAGGCCUCAUAAGCAUAUUUUGCUCAGAUCAGGGAAGAAGAACAACACUGAAUGCCAGUGCUGGCCUUCAAAGAGUAAUCAAGACUGCUCUGUUGCCCAGGCUGGAGUGCAGUGGUGUGAACACAGCUCACUGCAGCCUUACCCUCCUGGGCUCAAGUGAUCCUUCCACCUUAGCUUUCUGAGUUAGCUGGGACUACAGGCACAUGCCACCACACGUGGCUGAUUUUUCCCUUUUUUGUGGAGUAGGGGUCUCACUGCGUUACCCAGGCUGUUCUCAAACUCUUGGGCUCAAGCGAUCCUCCUGCCUCAGCCUGCCAAAGUGCUGGUAUUACAGGUAUGAGCCACCACACCUGGCCAAAACUUAGCUUUAGCUUUUUUUUUUUUUUUUCCCCCCCAAGACAGUCUUGCCCUGUCGUCAGGCUGGAGUGCAGUGGCGCCAUCUUGGCUCACUGCAACCUCCUCCCCCAGGAGAAUUGCUUGAACCCGGGAUGUGGAGGUUGCAGUGAGCCGAGAUCACACCAGUGCACUCCAGCCUGGGCAACAGAGCGAGACUCUGUCUCAAAAAAAAAAAAAAUAAUAAUAAUCUUUGUUUAAUCCAAAAUUAUCAAGAUUUAUUGCUAUGUUUCCCCCUAAGAGCUUAUAGUUUUCAGUCUUACAUUUAGGUCUGUAGUUCAUUUGAGUUCAUUUUUGCAUAUGUGUUGAUGAAGAGGUCCAAUUUUAUUCUUUCACAAGUGGUUAUCCAGUUUUGCCUGCAUCAUUUGUUGAAUGUUUCCCCAUUGACUGGUCUUGGCACCCUUGUUGAAAUUAAUUGACCAUAGAUGUAUGGGUUUAUUUCUAGACUCUAUUCUGUUUCAUUCUUCUAUAUAUCUGUCCUAUGCCAGUACCACACUGUGUCAAUUAUUGUAGCUUUGUAGUGAGUUUUGAAAUCAGGACAUGUGAGUUCAACUUUGUUCUUUUUCAAAAUUAUUUUAGCUAUUUGGGGUCUCUUGAAAUUCCAUUUGAAUUUUAGGAUUAGCUUUUCCAUUUCUGUAAAAAGUAUUGUUGGGAUUUUGGUGGGGAUUGCAUUGAAUUAUGUAGUCACAUUGGGAAGUAUUACCAUCUUAAUGAUAUUAAGUCUUCCAGUCCAUGAACUUGGGAUUUUUCCAUCUAUUUAGAUAUUUCCUUCAGCAAUGUUUUGUGAUUUUUAGUAUAUACGUCCUGCACCUCUUUGGUUAAAUUUAUCACUAAGUAUUUGAUUUUUUUAUUCUACUAUAAAUGGAAUUGUUUCCUUAAUUUCCUUUUUAGAUUGUUUACUGCUAUUUAUAGAAAUACAACAGAUAUUUGUGUAUUGCUUUUGCGUAAUGUAACUUCUGCUGAAUUUAUUAGCUCAAAUAAUACUUUUGUGGAUCUUAUUCUAUGUAUAAGAUUACACCAUCUGUGAAUAGAGAUAAUUUUACUUGUUUCUUUUCAAUUUGGAUGCCUUUUAUCUUUCUUGCCUGAUUGCCCUGGCUAGGACCUCGACUACAGUGUUGACUACAGGUGGCGAAAAUGAGCAUCUUUGUCUUGUUCCUGAUCUUACAAGGAAAGCUUUCAGUCUUCUACCAUUGAGUAUGAUGGUAGCUGUGAGUUUUUUAUAAUAACCUUUUAUCAGGUUGAGGAAGUUCCUUCCCAUUUUUAAUUUAUUGAGUGUUUUAUCAUGAGAGGUUGUUGGAUUUUGUCAAAUUUUUUUUCUGCAUUUAUUGGGAUGAUCAUGUGGGGUUUUUCCCCUACAUUCUUCUAACGUGUAUGUAAUACAUAUUUGAUUUUUCCAUGUUGAACCACCCUUGCAUUCGGCCAUUGAGAUUUUAAUGUAGGAGUCUAUUAAUUGAAUAAGGAUUCAAAAUAAGGGUUCCAUAUGUUAUUUUUAAAUGUUUUCAUUAUUUCUGAGGAAAUCUAAAUAUAUUUUAAGUAUCAAUAGAAGAGAUGUAUUUGUUUUCUUCUUUUUGUUUUUGUAAGAGUGUCAAUGGUUCAUAGAAUAAUGGGAGGGAGGUAGUGAACCAGAAGAUACUAGGAUGUAUAUUAUAGGGCUACAGUAAUGAAGCAGUGCUGAUGGACAGAUACGAAACUAAAGAUGAAGUAUAGGAACAGCUCAAGUGUAGAUAAGCACUGAAGCUGGGCAUGGUGGCUCACACCUUCAAUCCCAACACUUUGGGUGGCGGAGGUAGGAGAAUCACUGGAGCCCAGGAGGUCAAGGCUGCAGUGAGCCAUGAUCCUGCCACUGCACUCUAGCCUGGGUGGCAGAGCAAGACUCUGUCUCAAAAAAAUAAAAAUAAAAAAAAAAUCAGUAUUGUGCUGUCUGUUGUUAAGUGAAUCAUUUUAGACCAUCUAAAGGACAAUUGAUUCUCAUCAUUCACCCUACUUAUAUUCUAUAAAGUUGCCAUGAACACUGGAAUAAGAAAUACUAAACUAUUGCUGCUAGGGCAAAUAAUAGGGUUAGGUUCCUCUGAGCCUCUGGUUACAACAUUUUCAUCAACCAGUUGACACAAAACUUGCUUUAUGUGUAUUUUUGUUUAAAGGUGUCUUAUUUAAUGUCUGUUGAUUCAUUGCACUACAACUCAUGCCUGAACAAAGCUUCUCUAACACACAGAUUUUCUCCAUAAGGGACAUCACAGCACUAGGAGUAAUAGACGGCACUUUAGCAUGACACUUGGGGGCUACUCUAAAUAGCAAAAUCACCAACAAAAAGCACAGAAGUCCAAAAAAGUGGCAAUAAAUAGGCCAUGAAAAGGGUAGUUGUUCACAGGAUCAGAGCUGAAACAGUCGCCUGUUCACCCUCACCUGGGAAAACACGUGUCAGGUAAUUCAAAUUCUUCACUGCUUUGCACAUGCACAUAUCUGUGAUGACAGGAAAAAAGUAUUGAUAUGGAGGUUGCAAAUAAGUUUUAAUAAGUAGAUGAAUUUGCACAUAUAGAAUUCACAAGUAUUGAGAGUCAGCUGUACAUACUUUUUAAUCUUAAUUUUUUUCUUCAUAAUAUGUUCUAUAUGGUGCUAAUCAUUAGUAUUUUAACGUUUAUA